Molecule: long non-coding RNA, 846 nt
Filed under: Homo sapiens (human)
Lineage: Eukaryota; Metazoa; Chordata; Mammalia; Primates; Hominidae
Description: non-protein coding lnc-CELA3A-5:22
Source: RNAcentral
CUUCCGGUUCCCGCGCGGCGCUCCAAAGCUCGGGGAGUGGUGGUCUCCCUUUCCUGGAGUCAUUUGUGGGAGUUAGGGUCUUAUCCUGAUCUUUCCUCGUCCCCCGCUCCCCCGUCCUCCGAGGUGGCAGCUGCAAGUCUGGAACGUUUUUUCUUAGAGUUCCAGAAUUGAGACUGAAGUGUACCCAGAGACACAAAGAAAUACAGAAGUCCAGAAUGAUCAAAUGAGAUCACUACCCAAUGAAAUGAUGGGCCGAGGAGCCAGAAGUUGUCCUACUACCUGCUUUCCAGGUCCAGAUUCCACGAGAGCCUUCUGGGCUCCCACCAGAGACCCUCAGUGAAGACUCUGUUGAAGACUUUAAGACCAUGCUAGAAAGCCUCCCGGCAGAGGUUCAGGAAGUUCUGCUAUGAGGAUGCAGCUGGCCCCAGGGAUGUCCUCAGGCAUCUCUAGGACCUUGCUGGACGGUGGUGGCUGAGACCUGAUAUCCACACAAAGGAGCAGACUGUGGAAAUGCUGGUGCAGGAGCAAUUCCAGGCUGUCCUGCCCGAGGAGCUCAGAGCUCAAGCACAGAGAUGUCAGCCUGGAAUCAGAAUCACUGGCUAAGUCUUGCUGCUUGCUUCUUGCUCAGCCUGCAUAUGAGAAGUCAACCAAGCAUUCUCUUGGAUGCAAGAUCCAACUGCACCCAUGGGAAAUCUGAACUUCCACUUUCUUUGAGCUUGUCUUUGGUUGUAAUAAGAAUCCAUCAAAACCCAUGUCUGGAUCUCUCUUUGGCUGAGGCAGCUUUAUUUCCUACAGAAAGAGUUUCUCUGUCCUCUUGUUAGGACAAUCAGCCUGCUGCUUUGGGCU